This 440-nucleotide ribosomal RNA is filed under the name uncultured bacterium. RNAcentral's name for it is "partial 16S ribosomal RNA". It matches the Rfam family "Bacterial small subunit ribosomal RNA", at positions 338 to 795 of the family's 1533-position model. The record is from RNAcentral.
CCUACGGGUGGCAGCAGUAGGGAAUAUUGCUCAAUGGGGGAAACCCUGAAGCAGCAACGCCGCGUGGAGGAUGAAGGUUUUCGGAUUGUAAACUCCUUUUGUUAGAGAAGAUAAUGACGGUAUCUAACGAAUAAGCACCGGCUAACUCCGUGCCAGCAGCCGCGGUAAUACGGAGGGUGCAAGCGUUACGCGGAAUCACUGGGCGUAAAGAGCGCGUAGGCGGGAUAGUAAGUCAGAGGUGAAAUCCUAGGGCUUAACCAUAGAACUGCAUCUGAAACGGUGAUUCUAGAGUAUGGGAGAGGUAGGUGGAAUUCUUGGUGUAGGGGUAAAAUCCGUAGAGAUCAAGAGGAAUACUCAUUGCGAAGGCGACCUGCUAGAACAUAACUGACGCUGAUGCGCGAAAGCGUGGGGAGCAAACAGGAUUAGAUACCCGGGUAGUC